This 406-nucleotide ribosomal RNA is filed under the name uncultured bacterium. RNAcentral's name for it is "partial 16S ribosomal RNA". It matches the Rfam family "Bacterial small subunit ribosomal RNA", at positions 28 to 526 of the family's 1533-position model. The record is from RNAcentral.
GACGAACGCUGGCGGCGUGCUUAACACAUGCAAGUCGAACGAGUGGCGAACGGGUGAGUAAUACGUGGGUAACCUGCCCUCGUUUUGGGAUAAGGCUUGGAAACGGGGUCUAAUACAGAUUAGAGGGGGAUGGGCUUGCGGCGUAUUAGCUGGUUGGUGGGGUGAUGGCCUACCAAGGCGGUGACGGGUAGCCGGCCUGAGAGGGUGACCGGCCACAUUGGGACUGAGACACGGCCCAGACUCCUACGGGAGGCAGCAGUGGGGAAUAUUGCACAAUGGGCGCAAGCCUGAUGCAGCCAUGCCGCGUGUAUGAAGAAGGCCUUAGGGUUGUAAAGUACUUUCAGCGGGGAGGCGUUACCCGCAGAAGAAGCACCGGCUAACUCCGUGCCAGCAGCCGCGGUAAUAC